This 68-nucleotide transfer RNA is filed under the name Bramus fuscocapillus (southern mole vole). Its description in RNAcentral is "tRNA-Ile". It matches the Rfam family "tRNA". From Rfam's summary of the family: Transfer RNA (tRNA) molecules are approximately 80 nucleotides in length. The record is from RNAcentral. Lineage: Eukaryota; Metazoa; Chordata; Mammalia; Rodentia; Cricetidae.
AGAAAUAUGUCUGAAAAAGAGCUACUUUGAUAGAGUAUGUCAUAGAGGUUUAAGUCCUCUUAUUUCUA